Molecule: ribosomal RNA, 445 nt
Filed under: uncultured bacterium
Lineage: Bacteria
Description: partial 16S ribosomal RNA
Rfam family: Bacterial small subunit ribosomal RNA
Source: RNAcentral
GUGAGGAAUAUUGGACAAUGGGCGCAAGCCUGAUCCAGCCAUGCCGAGUGCAGGAAGACGCAUCUAUGGUGUGUAAACUGCUUUUGUACGGGAAGAAACACUCCCUCGUGAGGGAGCUUGACGGUACCGCAAGAAUAAGGAUCGGCUAACUCCGUGCCAGCAGCCGCGGUAAUACGGAGGAUCCAAGCGUUAUCCGGAAUCAUUGGGUUUAAAGGGUCCGUAGGCGGUUUAAUAAGUCAGUGGUGAAAGCCCAUCGCUCAACGAUGGAACUGCCAUUGAUACUGUUAGACUUGAAUUACAAGGAAGUAACUAGAAUAUGUAGUGUAGCGGUGAAAUGCUUAGAUAUUACAUGGAAUACCAAUUGCGAAGGCAGGUUACUACUUGUGGAUUGACGCUGAUGGACGAAAGCGUGGGGAGCGAACAGGAUUAGAAACCCGUGUAGUCC